UGACAGGACCAAUAGACAUCAGU
RNAcentral lists this non-coding RNA (23 nucleotides) under Rattus norvegicus (Norway rat). The record is from RNAcentral. Lineage: Eukaryota; Metazoa; Chordata; Mammalia; Rodentia; Muridae.